Triticum dicoccoides is the source of this 6791-nucleotide long non-coding RNA. RefSeq lists it as uncharacterized. NCBI's taxonomy places the organism in Eukaryota, Viridiplantae, Streptophyta, Magnoliopsida, Poales, Poaceae. The transcript has 10 exons. The record is from RefSeq and is a predicted model, not a curated record.
GAGGCGCAAGGAAGACUGGCGGAUCCGGGCGCAGCGUUGAGGGAUCUGGCAGCUGGUGCGGCAGCUUGCUCCGAUGGCGGCGUCGUCCUGCUCAUCCAGAGAAAGAGAGGGAUAGGGCGUGAGGGAGAGAGGAAGGAAGGAGAAGGAGAAGGGGCGCAGGGUGAGGGAAGCGGGCAGGACGGGGUGCUCCUGUUGAGGCGGCGGGAGACCGCGGGACACGGUGCUGGCUGUUUCCGCGGGAUCGAGCUUUGGCAGAAAGGAUUGAGCAGCCACUGCGCUGGAGUAGAAUGUGUGACAGAUCGACAAACACUUGGAUGCUCAACCUGUAUGUCUACAUGGCACAGUAAUGAAGAUUAACCGUUCAAUCUAUUGAUUCAGAGUGAGACAAGGCCAAAACAGAAUAAGCUCAUUUUUGUGCAUGAAUUAGGCGCUUUCAUAUGAAGCUGGACAUGUUUACAGUGAUCGACCCGAUAUCGUUACACCAGUCUUCAAUAUGAAGUUUCAUGAUUUAUGAGAAGAUGUUAAAAGUGGACAUUUGUUUGGUACAAUUCAAGCAUAUUUAUACAUCAUGGAAUUCCGGAAAAGAGGUUUCCCUCAUACUCAUACUUUAAUUUGGCUUAAAGGGAACAAUCAUGAGCUGUCGGCCUCCUUCAUAUAUACAUGGUAUCUUUCUGCUUGCAAAGCGUACUGGUGUAUGUUUGCUUUCAAUAUACAUGGUCGUGAGCCUUCAGUGGAGAGAUUGGUUGUUCACCUUCCUGGUAUGAAUGCAGUAAUUUUUCAUCGGGAUUCUUGGUUGGGCAAAGUCGUCAAAAAUCCAAAUGUACACAAAACAAAGCUAACUGAAUGGUUUGUGACUAAUUAAGAUAAUGAGGAUUCUAAGACAUUUUUUAUACUUAAAUUUCCCAUGAGGAUGGACUUGGGAUAAUUCUGAUAAAAUGUGGAACAAGGGGCAAAGGAAAGAAAAGCUUGGUGGCCGAAUCAUCUGGUUUCACGAUGUGCAUCCUGGAACUAUGGAACUUUUCUAUCUUCGGACAUUGCUCAUAGUGGUCACAGGUUGCUACAUGCUUAGAAGAUGUCAGAUGUUAUAAUGGGGUCACUACUGUUGCCUGGUGGACGAACAGACCAUCAUCAGUUCAAGUACCCAUUGAGACUAGAAGCGAUCGUCCAUGCUCUAUUUCCAGAGGUUCUCAGCAUGCAACUUUGAUUGAAAAAGCCAGUUUAGUCUUGUGGUAUGAAGCUCCAAUGGUCUAUCAUCCCUGCUUCGAAACUGUUGACAGAACAUUCAGAGAUAUAUUAUCAGUGCGCAGUUCUGCUAUGCUAUUUCCUUUGGUGGCAAGGUUGUUGUUCUUGGUGGGGAUUUCAGAAGUGCUUCUUGUUGUGGAAGGUGAUGCCAAAAAUGAGAUCAUUGGUGCUUCCUCUGAAGCUACUACAUUCUACAACGAUUAACAAUUUUCCAAGUUGACCGUGACACUGCCACAUACAGUUAGCCGCGCAACAAACAUAUCCGGUUAAAAAUUCUCAUCAAGGAUGAUUCCCUCACCUGAUUUUGAUGGUUAUGGCUAUGAAUACAUUGUUCUCUUACUGCUCCGUCAUCAUCCUGUUGCUCGACCAUGUUUCUCAAUUUUGGACUCCAUUUCAAUACUGCUGGAGUAUGCAGUAUUCGUAUUUAUUACGUAAGGUUUAUUCAUUUUAAUAAUUUAAUGCCAAAUUACUGAUCCGGGGUUUCCUUCUUGCAACUUUUAAUGUUAUACACUGGCGCAAGCUAGAGAGGCCUCCUCUGCAUCUUGUUGCUAUUGGCUCUGCUGUAUAUUCUUUGAUUAGUUAUAGAAAAGCAACAUGGAGAAGCACAUGGUGAGUUGGUGACCACUUGCUGAUGCGCCAGGUGCCUACAUAUAUCUUGAAAGAUCACGGUUGAUGAUAGUCUACAUUUAUGUUAAGUGCUUGAUGUGGUAACAAAGUUUUUUUUCCUUGAUUUAUCUGAUGAAAAAUAUGUUUUUUCCCAUGAAGUUAUUUAGACAUUUCUUUGGUUUUUCUGUUGAAGAGCAGUUGUGCUUAGGGCAAGUGGCAAAGCAUUUCUUUGGUUAUCACCUCUGUCGCAUAAGCAUUAGAUGUGCCCCGAGCCAGAGCAGUGCACAUGAACAGGCAGAACCGCAUGAGCCCACGAGUGCGAUCAGCAGUGUACUCCCACCUUCCGGCAAGCCCGACUGGGUGGGCGGAGGAGCGGUAGCGACCGCUGCGUCCAGCCAGAGUUUCCGGGAGGUUCUGCACCUGCCAGGACGCUAUGUCGCAGGCCACCGCUGCUCCUCCUCUGCUUGCCAUGGCGGCGGUGCUGAUGGACAGGUGCGCGAGGUAGGGGAAGUUGAGGGAUGCGGAGGUGGGCGAGGAGGACAUGGCAGUCAUCACGGUACCGUGAUAGUUUAAUCUGUAGUCCACCUCCUUACAUUCAUUCCCUGCUAAAAUAGUAAGUGGCUUGUUCUGUCAGUUACAUAUAUCCUGAACUCUGAUAUGCAGUAGUCUUCAUAAGGAGUUACCUUGGAACCAAGAAAGUUGCUUUAAUUUUUGUUGAUAUGACGACGAAAAAAAUAAUGAAUACAAGAACUUUUUGUCUUGUGUCUGGCAUGCUUGAAAUUGCUGGAUUGAAAAGUAAUGUAGGGUGGGUGGAUGUGUGAAAUUAAUAUAUUGGAUUUGCCAGCCGUGAGUACUGCUAGAUCGGUGAUGGUGCUCUGUUCCUUAUGUUGUUUAUCUCUGCAUCUAUAGAGCUUUAGCAAAUGGUGCUCUGUUCCUUAUGUUGUUUAUCUCUGCACCUAUAGAGCUUUAGCAAAUGUACAUAUGGUGCUCUGUUCCUUAUGUUGUUUAUCUCUGCACCUAUAGAGCUUUAGCAAAUGUACAUACUGAUUCAGGCAUGCACUAACUCUGAUUGAUACUACAAAUGCACACAUGGUUGUGUAAUUUUUUCCCCUCGAAUACACACGAGUGUGCGUACAAUAUUAAAGGAGAGGAUGGGGGUAAAGAGAUACAAUCCCAACUGCCCACAUUAUCUAAGCUCUAAAUCUGGCGUCUGCCCACGUUGCGAAAGCCCCAAGGAAGUCUUCGACCUCUCCAUUUAGGAUGCCUGCUCUCUUGGGGACUUUGUGUAAAUUGGUAACUAUCUUAGUCAGUUAUAGAAGUAGUAUUGGCGGUGUGAAAUUACAUCUUUUGUGGCGACACUGCUGCUGAGAAAUUAUUGGCAUAUUUGGUGAAGGAUAAGGUCUGGAAAUCGAGGUUUUUUUUUUACAAGUAAGCUGUAUUUCAUUCUUCUCCUGUCAUUCUCAGCAAUAGAUAAAUUAUAAAAUGUAUGUACGGGUAGGCAUGUUAUGAUUGAUGCUACAACACACAUAAUUAUAUACUAAGUACUUAUCUUCAGAAUUUUCUGCAUUGUCUAAUGUGUGCAUAUGUACUUGUGUUGAUAGGAUGCGGCUUCGGUGCAUAAUCUCUACUCCUAAUGGAGCAGUUGGUAGCUUGGUACUCCGGUUUUAUUUUCGUCCGGUUUUAUUUUCUCUACUCCUAAUGGAGCAAUUGGUAGCCUGGUAGUCCAGUUUUAUUUUCUGUUUUUUAUCACACCUCCCACUGGUUUCAAUCAUUUUGGAUCGGUCUCGAUCUCUUUCCCUCGAUCGCUCCCUCUCCAUUCAAGAUCUCCUUCCCGAUUCUGAUUUCUUCUUCCUUUCAUGGUCUUUUGUUUCCUUUUAUAUUGACCGCAAUUUCACCCAGAACUGGUAAGUGCUUAUUCAAUCGAAUCAUCGAGAUCAAUCAUCCUAACCAGAUUUGGUAAUUGGCAAUCGAAAUCAAUACACAAGAUCUCUCCUUCCUUUUCCACAUGAUUUUCAAUUUCACCCUUUCCAUUGUAAAGCGGUAGCCUCCUCCUCAUGUAAAGUGAUAGCCACAAUUGCGUUCGUCCUGAAUUUCCCGAAGGUUCUCCUCCUACCGGGACGCCGUGUCCCGGGCCACCUCUUUUCCCCUUUCCAUUGCAGGAAGAUCUGUGCCCGAACCCCGAGCGACGAGGCCGCGCAGAUCGUGGGCUGCAGCAGCUGCUGGUUGUGACACACGUCAUCGGUUGGAGGGGCGCAUUUGGUGGCCCCAUCGCGCUCUGAUCAAUGGUGACCUAAGGUUCUGUCCAUCUUCUCCUCUCUUUCGUCGAUGGCUGCUCAUAGGGGGACGGCGACCUGAAUACGUAAACCAUCUAUGCAUGGGCCGGUGUAUUAAGAAAGUUUAUCAACAAUCACACACCAAUGCUUUUGCACUAUAUGAAUUUCCCUUUAUGACUGUUUUCGUGGGAGCCUUCUAGAUGUACUUCUGUAGUUCCUAACAUGGUUGUAGGUUAAAUGUUUCUGCUGGUUUAUUUUUCUGUGGAAUCUGCCCCUAUUCACAUGUUACUACCAUCUUCAUAUGUAGUUGUGGAAAUAAAAUCAGAGAAUGAUCUCGCUGCUUUACUCCUUAUUUCUUAUUUGAAAUGCAUUUCUUCAUGUGAACACCAGGGUUUGUUGAGUGGCAACACGUGGUGAGAUGGACAACAACUCAGCUUGGCAUCAGGCAAAGGAGAAUAAUGCACAUGUGAUAUUAUCUACAUUGAUUCCCUUCUUAAAAUUGUUGUAUUAUGUUAACUUGCCAUCUACGUACUAGAAUUGGUCACAAAUGAUAGUGCAGUUUGAAGGUAAAAUAUAUGUGUUUUCAUUCUGUCAUUGAAUAGUCAGAUCGAUCCUUAAUAAAGCAUGUGCAUCUAAUGUCACCACUAUAGAGACUUGAUCUAUUCAUUUUGUCGUGCUUACACAUUAAUAUUAGUGUCUGUUGCUGGUAAGACAAGGUACACCUUGACGGUUGAUUAUUUUCUGUUUCAAAUUCUAGAGCACAACAUUUAUCUCUAGCGCCAGCAUGGAGUUUGAUACCAACUGUUAGUUAAGCUUCGUCUUCUUUUUUUGCAUGGUCUGACUGCUCACAUAUCCACCUUUCCAGAACACCCAACUAUUUCCUCCGGUGAACUGCGUAGAGCUUCUAUGUGCAUCUCUGUUAUGUUUAACUACGACAGGCUUAUGUAAUCUUAUCAUGAAGUCAUUUUUGCCAUUUGUGCACAACGUGACUGCAUGUAAAUAUGUAAUGCACCAACUUUGUUCUUCCUUUUUAUGUAAUGCACCAACUUUGUUCUUCCUUUUUUGUUGUUUUAUUGACUCAGUUUACCAUCUCAAAUGACAUUCCCUUUAUAACUAGCACAUCAUCUCCAGAGAAUCUUUUUAAGUUGAAAUCCAGUAAUUAAAUGUUGAUUGCAUAAGCAGGCUGAUGGUAUCUUGUUCAAAGAAUUUUAUUCCUACUGGAUGGAACUAAAUCUGUUCUUUCCUGAAAUAUAUUGGCACGCAAAGAACUAAAUCUAUCUACAAUGUCUUUGGGCAUAUUCUGAAUUUUGCAGAGUUAGCACAAACCUGAAAGCAUUUAUGCAGCUCCCAGAUGUUGCAGGCAAGAGGAAGGGGUUAACAAAAUCAUGCUGGUAGCCGAAGCGUGCCUCUUUGGGCUUCCGUAACAGAUGAGGCAGAGUAAUAAGCAAUAAAGAGAAGCCCAAGAGAAGCCCACCGAUGGAUCUCUCUUAUCCCUUCCUCUUCCUGGCAGCAGAACAGACGAUGCCACCCACGCACCAUCGAUGCCCUGCAGCCGACUGCUUCGGCGUUCUUCCACGCGAGCGAGCAGAGGCACCCCAUGGCGCCUCCUCCUCUCCUUCUCUUGGCGCGCGAAGACCUCGACGGAGCCACCUCCAUCGCGUCAUCGAUCUGGCCGCCGCCUCACCUGCGGCUCGAUCUUAUCUGGGAGAGAUGGUGAGGGGUGGGGGUGGCGGAGUAAGGGGAGCCGGAGAGGAAGAUCCGGUGCAGGACUCCCACGCUGCAGACUUGAGGCACCCAACCACGGCCACGUCGACGACUCUGCCUCCUGAAGGACGACAUCCACCACCUCCCUCCCUGCCGCCCAGAAGUGACGAGGUUGCCGCCUCUCGGCAACUUUCUGUGCUCUCGCAGAAAUUCCCCUUCAGAUAGUGGAGCGCCGUCGCUCCCAUAGUCUUCAGCAUCAGUGUCAUCACAGAUCUGUUCUCUUUUUCAUGAAGUUGGCUGGGUGCUUUGGCCACAUGACAACUUCCAUUUGAAAUAUAAAAUAUAUAAAUCAGUGAAGUUGAUGUCAUACAACUCAUGUUUCGUCACUGUACGAACAAACUUUGAGAUCUAUAUUGCCAUCCCAACAGAUCAAGACAUGGAUUACAUAUUAAAAGUGCAUCAAUGUUUUGUCGUUUAACACCAUGUGUGGAUAUAUCAUUGACAACCAAUGGUUUUUUAUGCUUGAAAAAUACUUCAUCGCUGCAAUAUGAUGAUUCAUUGGAUUAUUCUAUUUUUUGGUCAAUUUGAUUGUGGGAAUGACCCAAAAUUUGUCAAAGGAGCAAUGGAGUGGGUGCUCAAAUCUUCAUCUUUCGGCUGCUUUAAAAUGAUUCGGCAUCUGCAAGUAAUGUUCCCUUCUUAUGUGAGUAAGGGCUCCUGAUUCCAUGGCGUGCCUUAGUCUUUUGGCGGGCAUAUUUAAAGUUGAGGGAUCUUUUAUUCCAUUUCAAUUUUCUUUGGAAAUCUUCUGCCGGCUCAAGUGCUCAUGUCAAGGAAUAUAGCUGUAUUUUUCUUGGAUUUUUCAUUUGCCUUGCAAUGCUAAUGGAGAAAAGGCAACAAAAACUAUUCGAGGGAGAGAUUGUUAACGAAUAGAUCAACAAACUAUUUGUCAUGGAAAUUGCUAUUUGGAGA